Molecule: ribosomal RNA, 793 nt
Filed under: uncultured archaeon
Lineage: Archaea
Description: bacterial SSU rRNA
Rfam family: Archaeal small subunit ribosomal RNA
Source: RNAcentral
ACUGCUCAGUAACACGUGGACAACCUGCCCUUAGGUUGGGUAUAAACCCGGGAAACUGGGUAUAAUACCCGAUAGGUCUCGAUUGCUGGAAUGCAUCGAGAUUUAAAGCUCCGGCGCCUAAGGAUGGGUCUGCGGCCUAUCAGGUAGUAGUGGGUGUAGCGUACCUACUAGCCUACGACGGGUACGGGUUGUGGGAGCAAGAGCCCGGAGAUGGAUUCUGAGACACGAAUCCAGGCCCUACGGGGUGCAGCAGGCGCGAAAACUUUACAAUGCUGGUAACAGCGAUAAGGGAACCUCGAGUGCCAGGUUACAAAUCUGGCUGUCGAGAUGCCUAAAAAGCAUUUCAUAGCAAGGGCCGGGCAAGACCGGUGCCAGCCGCCGCGGUAACACCGGCGGCUCGAGUGGUAACCGUUAUUAUUGGGUCUAAAGGGUCUGUAGCCGGCCGGAUAAGUCUCUUGAGAAAUCUGGCAGCUUAACUGUCAGGCUUUCAGGAGAUACUGUCUGGCUCGAGGCCGGGAGAGGUGAGAGGUACUUCAGGGGUAGGGGUGAAAUCUUGUAAUCCUUGAAGGACCACCAGUGGCGAAGGCGUCUCACCAGAACGGACCUGACGGCAAGGGACGAAAGCUAGGGGCACGAACCGGAUUAGAUACCCGGGUAGUCCUAGCCGUAAACGAUACUCGCUAGGUGUCGGCCACGGUGCGACCGUUGUCGGUGCCGUAGGGAAGCCGUGAAGCGAGCCACCUGGGAAGUGCGGCCGCAAGGCUGAAACUUAAAGGAAUUGGCGGGGGAGCAC